RNAcentral lists this transfer RNA (75 nucleotides) under Candidatus Pelagibacter sp. RNAcentral's name for it is "tRNA-Gln". It matches the Rfam family "tRNA". From Rfam's summary of the family: Transfer RNA (tRNA) molecules are approximately 80 nucleotides in length. Their secondary structure includes four short double-helical elements and three loops (D, anti-codon, and T loops). Further hydrogen bonds mediate the characteristic L-shaped molecular structure. tRNAs have two regions of fundamental functional importance: the anti-codon, which is responsible for specific mRNA codon recognition, and the 3' end, to which the tRNAs corresponding amino acid is attached (by aminoacyl-tRNA synthetases). tRNAs cope with the degeneracy of the genetic code in two manners: having more than one tRNA (with a specific anti-codon) for a particular amino acid; and 'wobble' base-pairing, i.e. permitting non-standard base-pairing at the 3rd anti-codon position. Lineage: Bacteria; Pseudomonadati; Pseudomonadota; Alphaproteobacteria; Candidatus Pelagibacterales; Candidatus Pelagibacteraceae. The record is from RNAcentral.
UGGGGCGUCGCCAAGUGGUAAGGCAGCGGUUUUUGGUGCCGCCAUUCCUAGGUUCGAAUCCUAGCGCCCCAGCCA